GGCAUUUAUUCUCAUGUUCUUCUCAGCAAAGCAAUGUGAAGUCAUUAACAUUCAUGCCAAUUAAUGGAGCUACUGCUGAAAAGAAACCCAGCACCUGCAAGUAAAAGGAGGAGGUGACAAUCAGUAUAUUUUUAAACAGUUCCCCCUUUGAAGUUUUGUGAGAAUUUUAAUUAGCAAGGUCACCCACUACAAUACCCAUGAUAAAAACACAGCCAAGGCAGCUAGACUAUUAAUAUUUAAUCUUUGCAUAUAUUUUAAUGUUUGCAGAACUAGAGUAUUAAGUAUUGCAAUAUUUGCAUUCAUUCCAAUAACAUUCUUAAAUGCCCAUGUUAAAAGGAAAAGGAAAAAAAUACCACAAUGCUUUGUGUUGCUGUGCUUUAAGGAUGAACUGCAGAUGCUGCCUGUAUUAUUCUGCUCUGUUUAAGUUCUCUGAUUUAGGUAUUUCCUGCUUAGCUUGCUGGCAGAGGAGCUAAGGUAUUAUUGUAAAGAUCGGCUUGCAAAUUCUUAGAUAGGUGCUAUAUAGCAGCUCAGAUUUAGCACAAUUUCUCUUACUGUCAAAAUUGUGUUCUGUGACUUCCAUAUGACCAUGUUUUAACUAUCCAUCACAACUGCAAAACCCAUUAUAACUUUCUAAACCUUGCCAUCUUAUACUGUAUUUACCAGAAUCCAAGACUAGCUUUUCCCCCCGAUGGUCAUCGAUGUUAGAAACUGAGAUGGGCCGUCUUACAUUUAGGGUCCUCUUUCUUUUGGGUAAAUAGAAUAACCUAUAUUUAACCCAUAUUUUUAGGGGGUUGUCUUAAAUGCAGGGUCAUCUUCUAUUCGGGUAAAUGUGGUAUUCAUGCAUGUAUAUAGCACUUAGCAAUAGCAAUAGCACUUACAUUUAUAUACCGCUUUUAUAGCCGGAGCUCUCUAAGCGGUUUACAAUGAUUUAGCAUAUUGCCCCCAACAUUCUGGGUACUCAUUUUACCGACCUCGGAAGGAUGGAAGGCUGAGUCAACCUUGAGCCCCUGGUCAGGAUUGAUCUUGCAACCUUCUGGUUACAGGGCGGCAGUUUUACCACUGCGCCACCAGGGGCUCGUUAUAUAUAGGAAAGAUUAGCAGAUUUCUUGGUACUCAGUUUGAGCUUUCUGAAACACCUGGCAAUUUUUAUGACAUUGUACAAUUAUAUUAAGAUUUUCUAUAUGUAUUUUCCUUGGACAGCCUCAAGAUUUAAGGUUUAUGCAUGCAAGUUCAUUGUGAAGAUUUCCAUACAACCUUUGGAGAUUGACCCCUCCACCCAUCCAAUACUUUCCGAUAUGUGAAGUCACUGUACAAGCAAAAGAAUACUUCCCUUGGGGGUUAUUCACACUUGACUUCAGGGUCAACAUUGAGUGAAGCCACUUCAAAGUACACUUGUGGCAUUGAGGGAAGCAGCCUCUCUCCUCUGCUCUUAGUUUUCUUUUGAAACAAGUCCACAUGGCAUGUUCUGUGUUUUCCUUCUAGCCAAUGGGAGGGGGAGAGCGAGAGAGCUCCUGCAGAGAUAAAUCUGCAUUUCUGAAGAGAGCAUGCCUCUUACCAUGCUGAUGAUUCUACCUCAGGGCCUCUCCCUAUUUGCUCCAGCUUUUCAGAAAACAUUGCUUAAAACCAGCAUUUUAAAAACUCUUAAAAAGUAGAAUGCACUGAUCCAGGCAGCUUCUAGGCUUGGUAGCACUCCUCCCUCCCUAGCAGCAUGCGUGGUGACAGUGCAGCUCUGACAUGCACCUGGCCUCCGUGCAUGCAGCGGCCAGAUGCAUGCCAGAGCCGUGCUGCCACGCAGGCUGCUGGGGGAAGUGCCACCGAACCUAGAAGCUGCCUGGAGCAGCAGUACCACUGCUAAGGACCUGCUGAUUUACUUUUAAAGGUGCCUCUCGCUGCCUCACUAGCACUCAAACAGCCAAACUGGUUCAAGCUGAACCACCGGAGUCUCAAACUGUUCCAUUUCUUUCCAUCAUCCAAUCUGACAGAAUCUCCUCAGAUUUAGAUUAUUUGUUCUGGUCCAGAAUAUCGGGAACAUGCCUUUCACAUUUUAUAAAAUGAAGCUCUUCGCACAAUUACUACACCUUCUUUUGGGAGCUCCUCUUGGCCUGGAAGUAGAAGUUGAGAUAAAACAAUACCUGGCAGAUAUUCUACCUGGAAAUCAAAAUCCCUAAGUCGGGUGAUCCAUUUGACUAUUCUUGGGGUUGCUCAACUUGAUCCCCACUUAGUAAGUAAAGCAGAUAGGGGCUGACUGAAAAGUAAAUUUUCUGCCCCACAAGUAAGUCCUGAAGUGCUUCACCAACAAACAUGCCAGAGCUUCUUUUUCAGAGACAGAAUACAUCUCCUCUGAAGCAGUAAGGCAACUAUAACUUCCCUGUCCUGUUUUUGCUGGUCAAGACCACACAAACCAUAUUCAGAAGCAUCAGUGGUUACAAUAGUGUGCCUGUUGGUUUCAAAAAAAAGUGAGAGCAGGACUUUCAACAAUGGCCAGUUUGAUAGUCUGAAAACUAGCCUCGCAUUAUGCAUCCCAACCUUCUUUCUUAAAAAAGAAGAUGCUGUGGAGUAACUUUGGAGGCAAAUUGCCUAACAAAUUUGUAGUAAUACUCUGAGACCUAAACAUUAUCAAAGUGCAUCCUUGCUGUGUGCUUCCUGGAUAGAUUUCACCGAGUCUGUUUUGGGAAGUACGCCACUCCAAAAUAUUGUGUGACCUAAAUAUGUCACAGGGUGUGUGCAAAACAGAUAUUUCUCUGCAGAGAUAGUAAGUCUGUGUUGUUGGAGACUUUCAUAAGAGUUUGGUCAGUUUAGCAUCAUGCUCCUCAAUGGUUUUGCCAUACACUAAAAUGUAAUCCUGAAAGUGAUGCCUUCUGUAGUCCCAAAAAUUGCAUACAUCAUUCGUUGAAAUACUUAAGCUGCAGAGGCUAAUCCAAAGGACAGUCUUAUGCAUUGAAAAAGACCCUCUGGGGUUAUGAAGGCUGUGUAUUUGCGGGAACCUCUGAGCAGAGGAAUUUAUGAUAGGCCAAAGAUAAGUCCAAAAUUGUCUGAGGUCUCUUUCAGAGUAAGCAACAUUUCACUAAUAUUGGGCAAUGGAUGCCAGUCCACUACCAUGAUGGAGUUCACAUCUCUUAAAUCCACAGACAUUUUAAGUGUACCAUUUGAUUUCCACACAAGAACAAUGGGAAGGACCCAUUCUGAUGAAUCAACAGGCUCUAUAAGUCCGCAUGCUGUAGUCUUAAAACCUCCUCGCUAAGUGUUGGAGCACUACUAUGGGUACAUUCUUCACUUUGUGUUUUACAUCUGAAUUUUAUGUUUGAAAUGUAUGGCUAUGCCAGGAGUAUCAGCAAAAACAUCCAAGAAAUUAGCAAUCAUAUCAGCACAUGGAUACUCCAUCUGUAAUUUGGGUUCUUUAUUAUCUGGGUCUAACACUAUCCAGAUAUCUUUGAUGUUUCCAGCCCAAUAUUGAGACUCCUUUUUGUGAUAUGUACACUUUCCCUUCUGCAGUUCAUCCUUUGCAUUCCAGGACAACAGUGAAGUAUCCAUUUAUGGCAAUAGGGGAACUUCCAUAUCCCCAUCGGUGGAUGUCUGAAGGCUGUAGGUGCAGAUCUUAUGUAGUAAGCAGUUUCUUGUAAAGUAGAUGUGAAAUGAUAAUUUAUGGAGAACCAGAAUCCGCCAUUAUCUGCACUUCAUAGCCAUUAAGUUUUACUUGACAAUGUGGAGAAGCAGGCUCUGUCACACUUAAAAUGCUGUCAGGAAGUGGUUCAUCUGCCUCAUCCGUAUCAUAUAGUGAAUCAGUAAUGGAGUGGACUGCAGACUUGCAACCCUUAGCAAAGUGUCCCAUUUUCUUGAACCUGUUGCAAGUGACCAUCCGUGCAGGGCAGAGAGCAAAGUUGGCUUUGUGGACAGAGUCUCCACAUUGGUAGCAUUGGUAGCUCUUCCUUUCCUAAGCUGUCACUUUCUGGGGCUUGAUUUAGAUUGAACAGCCUGGAUUGCAGGAGGUUUGGUUUUGGAGUACCAAAGAGAGCCAUUUGGCACAGUGAAGAGCAUUUCCCACCCUCCUAGCUUCAUCCAAGCAGGGGCAUCCACGCUGCAGUGGGCAUCCAGUGAACAACAGAGUCCAGGACUGAUAAGGGAAGAGUACCUUCAAGGGUUGUGCCAGAAAGCUGGAGAAACAUUUAGCAGCAGCAAUAGUAGAAUGCAGCAGUUCAGGCACACAGGCCCAGUAAUACAUUGAAAGGAAGAUGAAGGAACAUUCACAAGCUUUACAGGCUUACACACCCAAGUGGUUCAGAAUCACAUUGCCAAAUGUUUUAUAGCUGCUUCCCUUGUAAACACAAAGUAGUCUUAUGUUGGUUGUUCCUUUCCCCCCUCCCUUUCCUUUCUGACUCCACCCCUCACAUUCCCUACAGGAUUCCCCCUGGGACAAGCUUCUAAAAUAACAAAACAUAAAAGAUUACUAGAUAGAAUACAACAUGGUUUCUUUUCAUUUCUUCCAGUGCUUUUCAGUAAGGAUCAUCCUGAUCUCCCACCAUGGUUUUGACUUGCGUUUUGGGCGGUAUACAAAGACUUGCGUUUUGGGCAGUAUACAAAUGUGAUAAAUAAAUAAAUAAAAUAAGGGUUUCCUUCA
Hemicordylus capensis (graceful crag lizard) is the source of this 4615-nucleotide long non-coding RNA. RefSeq lists it as uncharacterized. The record is from RefSeq and is a predicted model, not a curated record. NCBI's taxonomy places the organism in Eukaryota, Metazoa, Chordata, Lepidosauria, Squamata, Cordylidae. The transcript is spliced from 2 exons.